UGUUGCGUGCCAGUUGUAUUUAAAAUAUUCUCUAUCUCGCCCCUGUUCUCUUGUUAAUCAAAGUAAACAUAUUGUGAUGACUGUAAACUCCCAGAACACCUCUCUGACAAUAACUGGAGUGAAUUACACUGAUUCAGGACUGUAUUACUGUGGCAUUCCGCGAAGCACUCACAUUUCCUUCAGCAAUGCUACAUAUGUACAUGUGAUAGGUAACAUUUUGUGAUGACUCUCAUUACAUUACUCAUUAACAAAUAUUUAUGUUGUUUUAAAGAUGUUUCUGUAUUAUGAUGUCCUUUAUUGAAUCAUGUGACUGUCUUAGUCAAUAAAACAAUUUUGUUUCAGAGCGAAAUGAAACACAUUUCAAAAGAAAAUUUAAAGAAGAGAAAAGUGAAACACCAUCCAAGACCAGUUCUGUAGCUCACUGCUUUUCCGAAGUCUACUUCAUGCUGACAGUGGUGUUCGGUGGUGUGAUUGUGAUUCUCAUCAGUGUUCUUCUAGUCAUGUUGAAGAGGAGAAAACAACACCAAGACGAAACUGACGAUAAAGUACAACAAGAGAAAGAGG
Molecule: non-coding RNA, 564 nt
Organism: Electrophorus electricus (electric eel)
Lineage: Eukaryota; Metazoa; Chordata; Actinopteri; Gymnotiformes; Gymnotidae
Source: RefSeq, a predicted model, not a curated record